RNAcentral lists this ribosomal RNA (1344 nucleotides) under metagenome. Its description in RNAcentral is "bacterial LSU rRNA". It matches the Rfam family "Bacterial large subunit ribosomal RNA", at positions 1569 to 2925 of the family's 2925-position model. The record is from RNAcentral.
UAUGAACGAUUUAUCGUUCUAAGUUAGUGACGUCACACUGCCAAGAAAAGCUUCUAGUUAGAAUCAGACCGCCCGUACCGCAAACCGACACAGGUAGUCGGGUCGAGAAGACCAAGGUGAGCGAGAGAACUCUCGUUAAGGAACUCGGCAAAAUGACCCCGUAACUUCGGGAGAAGGGGUGCUGAUCGCAAGAUCAGCCGCAGUGAAUAGGCCCAGGCGACUGUUUAUCAAAAACACAGGUUUCUGCAAAAUCGUAAGAUGAAGUAUAGGGGCUGACGCCUGCCCGGUGCUGGAAGGUUAAGAGGAUGGGUUAGCGCAAGCGAAGCUCAGAAUUGAAGCCCCAGUAAACGGCGGCCGUAACGAUAACGGUCCUAAGGUAGCGAAAUUCCUUGUCGGGUAAGUUCCGACCCGCACGAAAGGCGUAACGAUCUGGGCACUGUCUCAACGAGAGACUCGGUGAAAUUAUAAUACCCGUGAAGAUGCGGGUUACCCGCGACAAGACGGAAAGACCCCAUGGAGCUUUACUGUAGCUUGAUAUUGGGUGUUUGUACAACUUGUACAGGAUAGGUAGGAGCCGUAGAAGUCGGGACGCUAGUUUCGACGGAGGCAUCGGUGGGAUACUACCCUCGUUGUAUGAACACUCUAACCCACGCCGGCAAUCACGGCGGGAGACAGUGUCAGGUGGGCAGUUUGACUGGGGCGGUCGCCUCCUAAAAGGUAACGGAGGCGCCCAAAGGUUCCCUCAGAAUGGUUGGAAAUCAUUCGCAGAGUGUAAAGGCAUAAGGGAGCUUGACUGCGAGACCUACAAGUCGAGCAGGGACGAAAGUCGGGCUUAGUGAUCCGGUGGUUCCGCAUGGAAGGGCCAUCGCUCAACGGAUAAAAGCUACCCUGGGGAUAACAGGCUUAUCUCCCCCAAGAGUCCACAUCGACGGGGAGGUUUGGCACCUCGAUGUCGGCUCAUCGCAUCCUGGGGCUGUAGUCGGUCCCAAGGGUUGGGCUGUUCGCCCAUUAAAGCGGUACGCGAGCUGGGUUCAGAACGUCAUGAGACAGUUCGGUCCCUAUCCGUCGCGGGCGCAGGAAAUUUGAGAGGAUCUAUCCUUAGUACGAGAGGACCGGGAUGGACAUACCGCUGGUGUACCAGUUGUUCUGCCAAGGGCAUCGCUGGGUAGCUAUGUAUGGAUGAGAUAAACGCUGAAAGCAUCUAAGUGCGAAACUCACCUCGAGAUAAGAUUUCCCACUCCUUUAUGGAGUUAAGACCCCUGAGAGAUGAUCAGGUAGAUAGGAUGGAAGUGGAAGUGCGGCGACGCAUGGAGCGGACCAUUACUAUCGGUCGAGGACUUAAUC